UGGGAGCGUGGCGAAAUUGGUAGACGCACUAGAUUUAGGAUCUAGCGCCUUCGGGUGUGGGGUUCGAGUCCCCGCUCCCAA
RNAcentral lists this transfer RNA (81 nucleotides) under bacterium. RNAcentral's name for it is "tRNA-Leu". It matches the Rfam family "tRNA". Rfam says of the family: Transfer RNA (tRNA) molecules are approximately 80 nucleotides in length. The record is from RNAcentral.